Molecule: long non-coding RNA, 340 nt
Organism: Ipomoea triloba (trilobed morning glory)
Lineage: Eukaryota; Viridiplantae; Streptophyta; Magnoliopsida; Solanales; Convolvulaceae
Exons: 3
Source: RefSeq, a predicted model, not a curated record
CACAACCCUUGAAGAUUUAAAAUAUAAUCCAGUAGUGUAGAAUGAAAGAAUAUCUUUCAAUAUUCGGUUUCUAUGGCUUACAACAUUAUCUUUCACUAUUGGGUUCGUUGGUACUAAUUCCACUUGUGAUUGUUCCGGCAAUGCGUGUCACCUGCGAGAGCACUUAAUUUAGAGCAUAUUAUGAAGGAGAUGCAGGGAGCCAUAAUAUUUGCUGCAGCUUUUCAUGAAAUACUUGGAUACAGUGGGAUUGCAAUGAUAUUUUUGAACAGCAGAUAGUCACAUAUGGAAAGCAGAGCUCAAAAUCAUUAAAAAGGUCAAAGUCAAGGCAUCAUAAGAAGUG